CCUACGGGAGGCUGCAGUGGGGAAUAUUGGACAAUGGGCGAAAGCCUGAUCCAGCCAUGCCGCGUGUGUGAAGAAGGCCUUCGGGUUGUAAAGCACUUUCAGUGGGGAAGAAAGCCUUGGGGCUAAUACCCUCGAGGAAGGACAUCACCCACAGAAGAAGCACCGGCUAACUCCGUGCCAGCAGCCGCGGUAAUACGGAGGGUGCGAGCGUUAAUCGGAAUUACUGGGCGUAAAGCGCGCGUAGGCGGUCUGAUAAGCCGGUUGUGAAAGCCCCGGGCUCAACCUGGGAACGGCAUCCGGAACUGUCAGGCUAGAGUGCAGGAGAGGAAGGUAGAAUUCCCGGUGUAGCGGUGAAAUGCGUAGAGAUCGGGCGGAAUACCAGUGGCGAAGGCGGUCUUCUGGACUGACACUGACGCUGAGGUGCGAAAGCGUGGGUAGCAAACAGGAUUAGAUACCCUAGUAGUC
Molecule: ribosomal RNA, 465 nt
Filed under: Vreelandella stevensii
Lineage: Bacteria; Pseudomonadati; Pseudomonadota; Gammaproteobacteria; Oceanospirillales; Halomonadaceae
Description: partial 16S ribosomal RNA
Rfam family: Bacterial small subunit ribosomal RNA
Source: RNAcentral